This is a long non-coding RNA of Raphanus sativus (radish), 245 nucleotides long. RefSeq lists it as uncharacterized. The record is from RefSeq and is a predicted model, not a curated record. NCBI's taxonomy places the organism in Eukaryota, Viridiplantae, Streptophyta, Magnoliopsida, Brassicales, Brassicaceae. The transcript is spliced from 3 exons.
CCCCUUGGGAACAGGAAAUAACCUUCCAUUUGCAUUUGGAUGGGGUAAGAAAAAUCCUGGAACAGAUAAGUCUUCUGCGGAGUCAUUUUUGGCUCAAGUGACUAAGGCCAAAGAGAUGAAGAUAGACAAUUGGCACGUACUUAUGCGGAUGAAGUCUCCUGAAAAAGGCUCUUGUGAUUCUAUCGAGCUACCACCUUCUCUACAUGCAUUUCGUCGUGCUUCUCCAUCAGAUCAAGCAAAUAUGG